AGGGAAAAGUUAUGGAAAAGAAGUGGACAUCUUUCCAUUAGGAUUAAUCUUGUUUGAAAUGCUUUACAUAUUUGAAACAGGCUGUGAAAGAGCCAAGGAGUGGGAUAACAUUAAAAAUUGCAUAUUUCCACAAACAUUUAUUAAGGAGUGUCCAACAGAGGCAGCUCUAAUUAGAAAAAUGCUUUCAGAAGCACCUUGUAAGAGACCAUCAGCAACUAUGAUCUUGACAUUUUUAAGUCAAGGCGACCAGAAUGGCCUACACACUUGUUAGCUAAUUUCUCAGUACAUAAGCACAGUAUUUGGGUCUAAAGGUUUCUUUCCUAUAUUUAAAGCCUGGAAAUGUCAUCCUAACACACAUGUGGCAUGCAAGUAAUACAAACUGCUUGGGCCUCUUAAGUCUGAAGGGUUUUGCCUCUUCCAGAAUGCCCUGAUCUGUUGGGGAUGCCUUUUGUAGGCUGUGUCCAUAUGCAAAAUCAGAUAAUCAGGGUUAUGCAGGAAGUAUUCUCAGUGGUGUCUUCCAGGUUAUGGAACCC
Gekko japonicus is the source of this 533-nucleotide long non-coding RNA. RefSeq lists it as uncharacterized. Lineage: Eukaryota; Metazoa; Chordata; Lepidosauria; Squamata; Gekkonidae. The transcript has 3 exons. The record is from RefSeq and is a predicted model, not a curated record.